GAUUAUGGCUCAGGAUGAACGCUGGCGGCGUGCUUAACACAUGCAAGUCGAACGAAGCACUUUGAUUCUUCGGAAGAGAAAGUGACUGAGUGGCGGACGGGUGAGUAACGCGUGGGUAACCUGCCUUAUACAGGGGGAUAACAGUUGGAAACGACUGCUAAUACCGCAUAAGCCGACAGGGCCGCAUGGCCUAGUUGGAAAAGAUUUAUCGGUAUAAGAUGGACCCGCGUCUGAUUAGCUAGUUGGUGGGGUAAUGGCCUACCAAGGCGACGAUCAGUAGCCGGCUUGAGAGAGUGAACGGCCACAUUGGGACUGAGACACGGCCCAAACUCCUACGGGAGGCAGCAGUGGGGAAUAUUGCACAAUGGGGGAAACCCUGAUGCAGCAACGCCGCGUGAAGGAAGAAGUAUUUCGGUAUGUAAACUUCUAUCAGCAGGAAAGAAAAUGACGGUACCUGACUAAGAAGCCCCGGCUAACUACGUGCCAGCCGCUGC
RNAcentral lists this ribosomal RNA (494 nucleotides) under uncultured bacterium. RNAcentral describes it as "bacterial SSU rRNA". It matches the Rfam family "Bacterial small subunit ribosomal RNA", at positions 15 to 518 of the family's 1533-position model. The record is from RNAcentral.